Molecule: ribosomal RNA, 468 nt
Filed under: uncultured bacterium
Lineage: Bacteria
Description: partial 16S ribosomal RNA
Rfam family: Bacterial small subunit ribosomal RNA
Source: RNAcentral
GACGAACGCUGGCGGCGUGCUUAACACAUGCAAGUCGAACGGAAAGGCCCUGCUUUUGUGGGGUGCUCGAGUGGCGAACGGGUGAGUAACACGUGAGUAACCUGCCCUUGACUUUGGGAUAACUUCAGGAAACUGGGGCUAAUACCGGAUAGGAGCUCCUGCUGCAUGGUGGGGGUUGGAAAGUUUCGGCGGUUGGGGAUGGACUCGCGGCUUAUCAGCUUGUUGGUGGGGUAGUGGCUUACCAAGGCUUUGACGGGUAGCCGGCCUGGGAGGGUGACCGGCCACAUUGGGACUGAGAUACGGCCCAGACUCCUACGGGAGGCAGCAGGGGGGAAUAUUGCACAAUGGGCGGAAGCCUGAUGCAGCAACGCCGCGUGCGGGAUGACGUCCUUCGGGUUGUAAACCGCUUUCGCCUGUGACGAAGCGUGAGUGACGGUAAUGGGUAAAGAAGCACCGGCUAACUACGUG